This 1375-nucleotide ribosomal RNA is filed under the name Escherichia coli. RNAcentral describes it as "partial 23S ribosomal RNA". It matches the Rfam family "Bacterial large subunit ribosomal RNA", at positions 1291 to 2649 of the family's 2925-position model. Lineage: Bacteria; Pseudomonadati; Pseudomonadota; Gammaproteobacteria; Enterobacterales; Enterobacteriaceae. The record is from RNAcentral.
CGAAUGCUGACAUAAGUAACGAUAAAGCGGGUGAAAAGCCCGCUCGCCGGAAGACCAAGGGUUCCUGUCCAACGUUAAUCGGGGCAGGGUGAGUCGACCCCUAAGGCGAGGCCGAAAGGCGUAGUCGAUGGGAAACAGGUUAAUAUUCCUGUACUUGGUGUUACUGCGAAGGGGGGACGGAGAAGGCUAUGUUGGCCGGGCGACGGUUGUCCCGGUUUAAGCGUGUAGGCUGGUUUUCCAGGCAAAUCCGGAAAAUCAAGGCUGAGGCGUGAUGACGAGGCACUACGGUGCUGAAGCAACAAAUGCCCUGCUUCCAGGAAAAGCCUCUAAGCAUCAGGUAACAUCAAAUCGUACCCCAAACCGACACAGGUGGUCAGGUAGAGAAUACCAAGGCGCUUGAGAGAACUCGGGUGAAGGAACUAGGCAAAAUGGUGCCGUAACUUCGGGAGAAGGCACGCUGAUAUGUAGGUGAAGCGACUUGCUCGUGGAGCUGAAAUCAGUCGAAGAUACCAGCUGGCUGCAACUGUUUAUUAAAAACACAGCACUGUGCAAACACGAAAGUGGACGUAUACGGUGUGACGCCUGCCCGGUGCCGGAAGGUUAAUUGAUGGGGUUAGCCGCAAGGCGAAGCUCUUGAUCGAAGCCCCGGUAAACGGCGGCCGUAACUAUAACGGUCCUAAGGUAGCGAAAUUCCUUGUCGGGUAAGUUCCGACCUGCACGAAUGGCGUAAUGAUGGCCAGGCUGUCUCCACCCGAGACUCAGUGAAAUUGAACUCGCUGUGAAGAUGCAGUGUACCCGCGGCAAGACGGAAAGACCCCGUGAACCUUUACUAUAGCUUGACACUGAACAUUGAGCCUUGAUGUGUAGGAUAGGUGGGAGGCUUUGAAGUGUGGACGCCAGUCUGCAUGGAGCCGACCUUGAAAUACCACCCUUUAAUGUUUGAUGUUCUAACGUUGACCCGUAAUCCGGGUUGCGGACAGUGUCUGGUGGGUAGUUUGACUGGGGCGGUCUCCUCCUAAAGAGUAACGGAGGAGCACGAAGGUUGGCUAAUCCUGGUCGGACAUCAGGAGGUUAGUGCAAUGGCAUAAGCCAGCUUGACUGCGAGCGUGACGGCGCGAGCAGGUGCGAAAGCAGGUCAUAGUGAUCCGGUGGUUCUGAAUGGAAGGGCCAUCGCUCAACGGAUAAAAGGUACUCCGGGGAUAACAGGCUGAUACCGCCCAAGAGUUCAUAUCGACGGCGGUGUUUGGCACCUCGAUGUCGGCUCAUCACAUCCUGGGGCUGAAGUAGGUCCCAAGGGUAUGGCUGUUCGCCAUUUAAAGUGGUACGCGAGCUGGGUUUAGAACGUCGUGAGACAGUUCGGUCCCUAUCUGCCGUG